UAACGCGUAGGUAACCUGCCUGGUAGCGGGGGGUAACUAUUGAAACGAUAGCUAAUACCGCAUGACAACAGUUAUUGCAUGAUAACUGUUUAAAGGGGGCAAUUGCUCCACUACCAGAUGGACCUGCGUUGUAUUAGCUAGUUGGUGAGGUAACGGCUCACCAAGGCGACGAUACAUAGCCGACCUGAGAGGGUGAUCGGCCACACUGGGACUGAGACACGGCCCAG
RNAcentral lists this ribosomal RNA (227 nucleotides) under uncultured bacterium. RNAcentral's name for it is "partial 16S ribosomal RNA". It matches the Rfam family "Bacterial small subunit ribosomal RNA", at positions 111 to 334 of the family's 1533-position model. The record is from RNAcentral.